RNAcentral lists this small nucleolar RNA (133 nucleotides) under Carlito syrichta (Philippine tarsier). Lineage: Eukaryota; Metazoa; Chordata; Mammalia; Primates; Tarsiidae. The record is from RNAcentral.
GAAUCCAAGACUGAAAACCAGCACUUAUAUCAUGGCCGUUGGUUUCAAGCAGAGGCCUAAUCAUCUUCCUGUGGUCUGGUGGCUGUCCUGGAACCUCAGCAAGAAAUGGCUAUUUCAUCUGGAAGGAACAACC